Molecule: long non-coding RNA, 1969 nt
Organism: Dunckerocampus dactyliophorus (ringed pipefish)
Lineage: Eukaryota; Metazoa; Chordata; Actinopteri; Syngnathiformes; Syngnathidae
Exons: 5
Source: RefSeq, a predicted model, not a curated record
ACUACCUUCACUGUGCUUGUAGCUACAGCGUGUUGCCCGUCAGUGGGCAGUUGUGGCAAAGCAGAGUGAAACUAUGCUGCUAGUGCCUACUAAAAUAAUGCCUGGGAGUGAAAAAAGGAAAGAGAGAAAGCGCAGCACGUGGCUAUACCGUAGCCAAGUGGGAGAGGACCAAGGUCUGCUGACCCGCCCACAAGUGGAAUGGGAAGAUUUGACUUGCUAAUUAGCUGACCACGUAUCCUCCAGUCAUUCAUCAACGUCUGCUCUGCAAACUGCCUAUCCAUCCAUCCAUCCAUCCAUCUUCGAUGCCACUUCUCCUCCUUGGGGUCGCGGGGGCAUGCUGGAGCCUAUCCAAGCUGACUUCGGGCGACAGGCGGGAUACACCCUGGACUGGUUGCCAGCCAAUCGCAAGGCACAUAUAGACAAACAACCAUUCACACUCACAUUCAUACCUAUGGACAAUAUUUUCUGCAAAUACAACAUGCUCUCUAUUGUUUCUUAAUUACUCACAUUUUUGGAGGCUCAUCUGACUCUUCAACAUAUGGUUGGAAUGUGGGUUUCUGGAGAGGAGGCGGCGCCAUCAUUGUCUUACCAAACUUGGACUUCUGUCGCAUCUUUGAUGGACAAAAAUAGAGGGAAAAUGAGGAGGAGCUAACCAAGGCUCCAAUUUAGGUUCCGAAAGAGCGGCGCCUGCCUUGUUCUCAUCGAAGACCACGAGCUUACUAUUGCUGCUGUGGCUGCUGCUUUCACCAACGGUGGAGACACGUCCAGUUCUGUUGAUAGGCACGGCGGCCUUCUUCCCUCUGGUUUUGAGUUCGGCAAGAGAAACUCUCUCAGGUUGUUUGGGCUCGUCAUCACUGUCGCUCUCAGUGACUUUCUUCAUCACCUGUCGCGACACGCGAGUCUGCAGCGUCCUGAAAAAUGUGUACAUUAGGAUUACAUGCAGGGAAAGAAAUGUCACAGUAGAUAUGGUAAGUGAACAUACCCCUGCUAAAAUACAGUACUAGGAACAGAAAACGCGAUAAUAAAUCCUAAAAAAUAAUGUGAAUUAUAUAGCCAGUAUCUUUAAACUAAAAAAUAAAUAACCUGCUCCAAUUUGUUGAUUUUUCCUUUUCUUUGCUUUUUGAGUGAUAAAUUUUAUAUAUUUUUGACAUUCAGCACAGUUUUAGGAGUGGCUCUGUUCACUGUACAGUAUGUUAUACAAUGUUUAUAUGAAUGUGAUAAAAGGCCUUGCAGUCGAGUAGUUCAACCAAUAAAUUGGUAGAUGCCUACUUGUGAAACAGCUGAAGCUUAUCAAAGGGCUGAGCAAACAUCUUGAGUCCUUCCUGGUAGAUCAAGUCAGCUUUGAGGAAGUCGCCGCGGGUCUCAUAUUCCUCGGACCAGGCAAUGUAGAAGGCCGCCCUGGUGAUCCCUAUACCCUGAGCUUGCAUGUACCUGUAAAUGUCCAAGCGUUCCAAGCAGCACCACGCCUGAUAAGCACACACGGUGUGGUUUUAACAUUGAAGCAGUUUGUCAGCUUGGUAAAUGACUGAAAUAUCAGAAGACACACAUAUUUGAUCCACAGGUCAACGUAGCGAGGAUCGUUGUGAUACUUCUUUUCAUCUGUGAAUCGGGUCACAGCUUGCUCCAACAGUGUGCUCAGGUUGCUGUCCUUUCCUCCCUGAGGAAACAUUUGCUCGGACCAUUUGAUGUACCUAUUCAACACAGAACCACAUGAGGAGAAAAAAAAUGUCUUCUGAGCGCUCACAUCUGUGCAAUAACUUACACUUACCGAUCCCAAACAUCAAGUGGAUCAUCUCCGUCGUACAGUCGCAAUUCCGUCUCAAAAGCCCUAAGAAAAAAAAGUGUCUUAAAAAAAAAAUCCAAUAAUUUGCAGUUUAUGAAGAAGUGACAUCUCAUCAGUAUUCAUACUGUUUCUGUUGGAGGAUGGCAGGGCUGGGGCCAUCUUUGCUUUGGCUGAGGGCCUGCAUCA